RNAcentral lists this transfer RNA (88 nucleotides) under Armatimonadetes bacterium OLB18. RNAcentral's name for it is "tRNA-Ser". It matches the Rfam family "tRNA". Rfam says of the family: Transfer RNA (tRNA) molecules are approximately 80 nucleotides in length. Their secondary structure includes four short double-helical elements and three loops (D, anti-codon, and T loops). Further hydrogen bonds mediate the characteristic L-shaped molecular structure. tRNAs have two regions of fundamental functional importance: the anti-codon, which is responsible for specific mRNA codon recognition, and the 3' end, to which the tRNAs corresponding amino acid is attached (by aminoacyl-tRNA synthetases). tRNAs cope with the degeneracy of the genetic code in two manners: having more than one tRNA (with a specific anti-codon) for a particular amino acid; and 'wobble' base-pairing, i.e. permitting non-standard base-pairing at the 3rd anti-codon position. The record is from RNAcentral. RNAcentral also lists the same sequence under 7 other names. Lineage: Bacteria; Bacillati; Armatimonadota.
GGAGAGAUGGCAGAGUGGUCGAAUGCGGCGGUCUUGAAAACCGUUGAGGCGCAAGUCUCCGGGGGUUCGAAUCCCUCUCUCUCCGCCA